CUGGGAUAGAGACAGAAUCACUGGAAGUAUGUGCUGCUGGCGGCAGUCGCUUUAAAUACAGACUGGAGAGGAGCACUCAUAGGACUUUAAAACAACAAGAGCGACAUGGCAGUGAACUCGUCAUUACAACCCAGCCGGAUGGACAGAAGUGGUAGUUUUCUUCAGCUCGUCGAUGCGUUUGCAUUGUCACUGGGUGCAUUGGAG
This 204-nucleotide long non-coding RNA is filed under the name Sinocyclocheilus grahami. Its description in RNAcentral is "lncRNA (ENSSGRG00000047452.1)". Lineage: Eukaryota; Metazoa; Chordata; Actinopteri; Cypriniformes; Cyprinidae. The record is from RNAcentral.